UGAGAUCAUGACCUGAGCCGAAAUCAAGAGCCGAUGCUUAGCCGUUGAGACACCCAGGCACCCCAGGUAUAGUUAUUUUAAAGCCCUUUGUAUUUUAACCUUUAUACUAGAGUUAAAAGUAAUAUAUAUACCACCAUUAAAUUAUUAGAGUAUUCUGAAUUUGACUAUAUAUUUACCUUUACCAGGUGAGUUUUAUACUUUCAUUUAUUCAUUCAGCUGCAACCCGAGGGGAAAUGUGGUUCUACUCUGAGGAGCCCCCUUUCAUCGGGCCUCCCUGAGAGGGUCAGUGGGCAUGAUCCUGGGUCCCAAGGUACUUUUAGUUCUGGGGGUGCUAGGCUAUGGCAGAAGCCUGAAUGUGUCUGCAGAAAACCAGUAUCCACGCAAUUCCAGAAGAGAUGCUAAGCGCGUGGACAGGACCUUAAAUCACCUAACAUGAGUGCUGUUCAUAACUGGUGCUCAGAGCUGUUGAUUGGCUACACGAGAGCUAGCCAGUCAGCAGGCAUUUAUUCAAAUUUGCUGGGUGUAUAGAGUUGGGCCACCUGCCUCCUGACCUAGGGGGAGCUCUCUUUCCUGGUAUUGAUAGCCUCUUUCUUGUUCUCUCACCGGUGGGCUCAGCUCCACCUCAGGCUUUAGGCCCAUUUGGACCUGCCCUGGGACCGGGGGACUUAAAUAGUUCUAGACCAUCCAUCUGGGGCUUUACCUUAAGUCAGCCAGCCUCUGGAUCUAACCGCAUGUUUGCUCUCUGAGUGUGGGCCUUAUUCUCACAGGGCCAUCCCUGAUUGUGGGACUUGAGCCUUCUGCGACAGACCUGAGUCCCUGUCUCCGCCACCCACCCCCAGCCAGUCAUCACCCCUCCUUGGCCUUUGUAUUUGGCCCUCAGCUCCCUGGACUAUCCACCCACCCACACGGGACUUUGAAUGUCAUGUGAGAACACUGCUACUCCCUCAUGGGCCCCCCUCAAGGCUGAUGCCUGCCUUUGGGACCCUCUGCUCUCCUUUUCAAAUCUGACCUUCCAGUUACAGGGCCACCCCCAGCCAGACUCUGCCCGAGGCUGUUGGUCCCCAAGUCUGCCCUUCUAACUCUAUUCCGAGGCCCACGUGCAGCCAAGUUCUUGUCCCCGUGGCCUUGUGAGGUUUGUGGUCCAGACCAAAGUAAGACAGUCAUGACAUGGGGUGGGCCCCACAUUUCCCCAGGGACACAUUUCCUCCUGCGCUACUGCACUUGGCUGCAGUUUGGGAGGAAUGAGAUAGGAGGGGAGACACAGAGAGGUGUCGGGCCUCUGUGGUCAGAAGCUCCGGAGCUGGUGUAGCCGCCCGCCUAGGAUUUCCCCCGCUGCUUUGGUGGGCAGCCCUGACUGAUGUCAGCAGCCCUGCCUCGCACACACGUGCCUGGCUCUGUUGGGUUCCCCAGAAGCAGAGCCCGAGUUAAGGAUUAGGUGCCACGAUUUCCUGAGACGGGGGAAGCAGAAUGUGGCUUCAGAGAAAGUUGGUUCUCGGCCCGAUCCACAGGGAAGGUCUGGAGCAUAAACUGCAUCCCAGUGUUGACCCCCUACCCGAGGCAAGGGAGCCCCCAUUUUAGUUUAUCCUAGACUGUAGGCUGCUCAGCUUCCAAGCUAAUGAUUCCCAUCAGCUGAGGGGUGUUCUCUGGAGAAGGGCCAAGGUCCACAGCCCACAUAGUGUGGGUGCAGAGCCUGGCAAAGGGGAUCUGGGUGGAGUGCUCUAAGAGAACUGACUGUAGCAUCUUUCUCUGUCUGAGCCUUCCAAGCUGGGGGCCCUCUUGGCCCAACAGCAAGUACAACCUGGAAUGUGGGGAUGGGGGUUAGCUCUCCUGGCCCGUGAGGGAUGAGGGCCACCAGAAAAAUGCCCGUCUCCUGUCCCUGGAACAGACCAACCUGGGUAGCAUUCUGUGCAAUCCCCGGAGAUUCUGGCAGAAUUGAGCCCCUGCUGCGCUUUCCCUCUCCUCCCUCCUAUCUCUUGGAAUCAUCUCCCAAACGCACACCUUUGAUCAGGGGGAUCCAGAUCAGAACACACUGGGGCGGGGGCAGAAGUCCGGGCCGUAUCCUGAGGGUAAUGGAGACUUGUGGAAAGAUUUUGUGCUGGGUCAGGGUGAUUGGACUGGGUUUUUACUUUAGGACUGUUCCCACCGUGGGAAGGAAGUGAGAAGUGGACAAUGUCACAGUGGUCCCGGGAGAGGGGUUUGGCUGGUGAGUGUUGGGGGAAGAAAAGGAAAGGGGUCACCAAGAAGGAGAGAGAGAUGGGACUCGCGCUAGAUGGAGGGAACAGAACGAGUCUGCGGCCCAAAGGCCUGGCAGUGCGGAGCCCAGGGCCUGGGGCAGUAGGGGGCCUCAGACAGGAGCUGGUUUGGGGGCAACAGGCAGUCAGUCUGCCCAGUGUCCUCCUUCUCUAAAGGAGCAAUGAUUCCAUGAAAUGUCCAGAAGAGGCAAGUUUAUAGAGACAGAAGGUAGAUUAGUAGCUUCUUAGGACGGGUGGGGGAUGGGGGUCUCAGAAGGAUCGGGCGUUGGGUGUUGGUGGUGGCUAAAGGGGCCACUAAAUGUUUUGAAAUUAACUGUGGAGAUGGCCGUACGACUCCACGCGUAUGCUGAAAACCAUUGAGUUUUACACUUUAAGUGGGCGAAGUAUACCGUAUGUGAAUUCUAUCACAACAGAGCUGUUGUUUCAAAACAACAACAACAACAACAACCAAUGCAAAGCUGUGCAAGGGACGUGGGAUCAGCUGUGGGAGGGAAGUCUGCUGACUAAUGGAAGGUGGGAGGGACCUCAAAAGUCCUGUUACUCACUGACCUUAUUUACCAGCGGAACGCUGGGCCCGUCUUGCCCACGGGACAGGGUGAGUCAGGGGCUUGAACCCAUGUCUCCAGACCCCCCGGCCCCGCGUUCCCCCCACCCCAUUACCGCCAUCCACCCUGCCCGCAGCUGCCCCUUCCCCCCCCCGGCCCCUCCAUCCGGCAACCUUGCCUCCCUUUUGACCGGCAGCCUGCUGAGAGGUCAAAUGACAAGAGCGACCCUCCCUUUCCCCGCGGAGAGCUCGACAGGGUGCACAGUAUGUGCACAGCCUCUGCUCCUUUAAGGCAGCGCGGCCCAGCGGGGCGCCCUGUCUGCUGUCCCGGGUGCAUUUCCGGCUCCCUCUCUCACCGGCUCUGAGCCCUUGGGGAAGCCACUCACUGCUUCUGCCAAACCUCCAUCGCCUCACCUAUGAACAGGGAAUAAACAACAGACUCUACCUCCCAGGACCGCAAUGAGGACUCACUGAGAACAUCCACGGACAGCACUUACUUCGAAUUCUUACCUGUGCACGAGGCACAGGGGGGCAGUGUCGCCCCCCUCCAUUACAGAGGGGGACGCAGAGCUGGUGGGGGUAGAAUCAGCGGGGAGAACUGCUUGGGGUCACGUGCCCAGGCUGCGAGGGGUACAUGGGGACACCGAGGCCCACUUCCUGCCCUGAAGCGCAUGGCCUGAGCCAAAGAGGGGAGAAGAUUGGGCCCCUGGCCAUCAGGCUGGGCUGAGAGGGAAUGUACAGGCCCAAACCUGGCUGUGGGACUCAGUAAAAAGUACUUGGGCUGCUUUGGGGCAAGGAUCCCGGGACUGGGCGAGUGCUGGGGCCCCAGGAGGGCUCGGAACACCAGAGAAGAGGAAGAGGGCAUCCCAAUUAUGGGAAUCUGAGCAAGCAGUGUUGGAGACCGAAGGGGAGUGGCCUGUGUGGGGUCAAAGAAGCUGGAUGCCCGGCCACUGGGUACAAAGGACAACUGAAGCCAGAGAAAGGCCAGGUAAGGGUGGAACCACAGCCAGAACUGGGCUCCCCUCCCUCCUGCCACCUCGGGCUGGUGAUGUCUUUCUGACCCUCAGCAAAACCUUCUAAUGUCAUGAAGACUGGUGGUCAAGGGGUGGUCAAGGGGAGUCUGGACAUUCCCCCCCCUCCUGUGCUCUUUGUGCUGGUCCCAGAGGCCCGGGACCCCUGUCCAGAGGAGGCCUCUAGGAGGCAAUAAUCAAGACAGUGACGACAACAUUAGGAUCUCUGGCAGGAGAUCUAGACCCUUCCUCCUGUGCCGCAGUCACGCUCAGGGGUCUCUGCCUGCUUUGUCUUCGUCUACAGCUGCCCUUCUUCAGUGAGUCCCCACCAGAGACCAGGCACGAUGCCAAGUUCAUCUCUUCAUCUCAGAGUGGAGAGACGGGCUCAGAGAAGUUCAGUCAGUUGCCCAAGGACUGGAGUUCCAGAAGCAAACAGUGGCAAUCAGACGACUGCUGCCUGAGACUCCAGACGGCAGGCCCGGAGGGUUUGUAAGCUCCUCGAAGACACCAGGUCCCCGGCCACCUGCCUAGGAUUCCUGCCCCCAGAGCUGCGGCCUCUGAGCCCCUGGGGCCCCUGCAGCUUCCCCCGGCACUGGGCCCAGGGCUCUGGAGACUGGGGACCAGCCCGGGGCCCUCUGGGGCUGGCCGAGGUGCUGGUGGGUGGGGUGGUUGUGACUGAGGCAGGGUGGCUCAGGGAUGCCCUGGGGAGGGAGAAGGGUCAGCCCAAGGCCGUGCAGCUCCCAAAGAGGCAGCCACCUCCCAGGCUCUCUGACUCUGGUCAACCCAUCUCCACUAACCUGGGUGGACAGGGGCUCCCGUCAGGACCCGCAGAGGCUGAGGUGACCAGGCCCAGACAAUCUCUGUUCCUCCCACGUCUCAAGGCUGCCUUGGAACCCGAGAAGCCUCCACCUGUUCCACACCAGCCAAGGGCAUCUGAGAAACGGAUGCAUCAUCUUUCCUGGACCGUGCUGGAAGGCUGGAUUCCUAGAAGACAGGAAUUUAUGGUGUGAGAGCUCCAGCCCCCGCAAACCCGCAGCCAAGGUCAACAGCACGAGGGGGGCAGCCCUGCCAAGCGAGGAGGGGAGCAGUGACUUUGGGAGCUGGUUGCACAGAAAACCAAAGUACAUCCAUUAAAAAAAAAAAAAAAAAUCCCUUCUCUCCCUCACGUUCCCAAACUGGGGGCUUAAAAAAAGUCCCCCAGACUGGCCCAGACAAGGCCCCUUGUCUGGGAAGACUGAACCCGUUUGGAGACAAGGCAUGCGAAGCUGCUGGGGCGGGGGCCCAUGGAAGGCCUCGGGGCGGGUGGUGAGCAGGCUACGCAUGUGUCCUCGUCCUUCGAGCCAACCGAGGGCAGCUGAGAUGGAAAUAGGAGCCCUGGGCCCUUCAGAAAGCCCCCCAACGUGACAGCCUCAUUUGCCCCCUCUCUCCCCUCUCCCUUCCGGAGUCGGGGGUCUUGACUACCCACACACACUGAAUGCCCAGCACCCUGGGGACCAGAGCUCCCUGUCACAAGCCCUGAGUCUCUGGCAGGAGAGAAUAAGUUUGCCCCAGCCUCCUAGGGAGCUGAGGAGGGGCCCGGAGACCACCUCGAUUCAGACUCCAACAACCGGGCGCUGGGAAGAUAGCCCCCACCCUGGUCCAGAGCCCGGGCAGGUGCAGCUAAACACCCACCGGUUAUCUGUGCACCUGACGUUUCUGAACCCCAUGGGGUUGCACCACCGGGGAAAAUACAACAAGGCAGCCUCCUGCCCUGGAGAAUCCCCGGCAAGCGGCGGGGGGGAGCACUGACACGGAAACGGAUGGCGACCAACACGUGAGGGGCUGUGGGUCCCCCCGGGGGGGAGUGAGCACCCUGGGGUGCAGAGAAAGACAUGGGGCAGAGAAAGCUUCCUGAAGGAGGUGCCCCCCAGGGGUGGCCGGAGUUCACCAGGCGGACAUCCAGUGGGAGGGGGGCUUGGAGGGAACAUUCCAGCUAAGUCCACAGCAUGUGCAAAGGCCCAGAAUGUUUAUA
Felis catus (domestic cat) is the source of this 5817-nucleotide long non-coding RNA. RefSeq lists it as uncharacterized. The transcript is spliced from 4 exons. Lineage: Eukaryota; Metazoa; Chordata; Mammalia; Carnivora; Felidae. The record is from RefSeq and is a predicted model, not a curated record.